This 774-nucleotide ribosomal RNA is filed under the name uncultured Neocallimastigales. RNAcentral's name for it is "partial large subunit ribosomal RNA". It matches the Rfam family "Eukaryotic large subunit ribosomal RNA", at positions 26 to 633 of the family's 3401-position model. The record is from RNAcentral. Lineage: Eukaryota; Fungi; Neocallimastigomycota; Neocallimastigomycetes; Neocallimastigales.
CGCAUCUGUGCAUGCAGCAUAUCAAUAAGCGGAGGAAAAGAAACUAACAAGGAUUCCCCUAGUAACGGCGAGUGAAGCGGGAAGAGCUCAAAUUUGAAAUCUUAAAGGGUUUCCCUUUACGAAUUGUAGUUUAAAGAAGUGUUUUCUGUUGAGGUUUUGGUAAAAGUUCUUUGGAAUAGGACAUCAUAGAGGGUGAGAAUCCCGUAUUUGACCUUUACUUUCAACUUUGUGAUACACUUUCAAAGAGUCGGAUUGUUCGGGAAUGCAGUCCAAAAUGGGUGGUAAAUUUCAUCUAAAGCUAAAUAUUGGCGAGAGACCGAUAGCGAACAAGUACCGUGAGGGAAAGAUGAAAAGAACUUUGAAAAGAGAGUUAAACAGUACGUGAAAUUGUCAAAAGGGAAGCGUUUGACACCAGUGUUGUUUUUCUGAAAAUCAAUUAAAGAACUGUCUAUGCUAAGUUGUUUAGACUUUAUCAGCUAUCUGUUUAGUUUUGAGCUUUUCUUUAAUGCACUUUUCAGUUAACAAGUCAACAUCAAUUUCUUUUGCUGUAAAAAAGCUUGAGGAAGGUGGCUUGAGAUUCGUCUUAAGUGUUUAUAGCCUCUUGCCUAUGCAGUCGGAGAGAUUGAGGUCUGCAACGUAGAUCCUUCGGGGCUAAAUGCAUUUGUGCUAAGUUAUAGCACUUUAUAGACAACUUGUUGACUAUGAUUUGUCUUGUAGCUUACUCGCUUAUGUUAUUUUACCUACGCUUAGGAUGUUGAACGCGCACAGAGUCUC